RNAcentral lists this ribosomal RNA (825 nucleotides) under Triticum aestivum (bread wheat). Its description in RNAcentral is "partial small subunit ribosomal RNA". The record is from RNAcentral. Lineage: Eukaryota; Viridiplantae; Streptophyta; Magnoliopsida; Poales; Poaceae.
AUGGAGUUCGUCGACAUGGAUGGUCAGCUAAGAUCGACGGGCAGCUUAAUACCUGGGUGCUUGAACGCGUCGCAAAGAUUAAGAGAUGUGAUGCGUGCGCCACCAAUAUGCUCAUCAGGAUCGUCAAGAGCUUCCCAUCGUGUGGAUGCUUCGAUGACGAAUGAUGUGGAAGAUGGGGCUCGAUCACAGCUUGAAGCCACGGUGGGAGAUGAUAAAGAUCUAUCCAUCAACAACUUAUCCCGAGAGCAUGCAGAUAGUUUAGAAGCUGGAUCUUGCGAAGUCCGGGUGGAAGAUGCAGGCGGAGGAGAAGCAACAUCAACAUGGAAAAGGAGGGUUAGGCUGUCAAAUGGAGAUGUUGAGAGAGAGUGGAGUGCAGAAAGGAAGAGCGCACUUGAAGUGACCAUAAGACGAUUCGCCGAGAAGAAAGAAGGCGUUGUAAUAAAUCCUAAAAUUGGUUUGUCCUUUGAUUCUCUGAACGAGGCUUACGAAUUUUACAACCUGUACUCGCGGGAAAUCAGAUUUGGGAUACGUUUUGCCAGAAGUCGUCUGAAUGUCAAACGAGCCAAAUGCAUGCAGGAGUUGGUUUGCGGAUGUGCGGGCACCCCAAUUAAGGAGAACGACAGAUCUUCUAGGUGUGGAUGUGAAGCCAAAAUUCGCCUCUUGCGUUCGUUUGAUAAUGGUUGGUACAUCAGCGAGCACCACAUUGAUCAUAACCACCCGAUGUCAACUACUUGUGGGCAGAAACUACAUUGGAAGUCGCACAAGUACAUUAAUACACACACUAAAGACUUGGUGAAGCAACUCAGUGAGAAUAAUUGUACCUGA